Molecule: ribosomal RNA, 629 nt
Filed under: Klebsiella oxytoca
Lineage: Bacteria; Pseudomonadati; Pseudomonadota; Gammaproteobacteria; Enterobacterales; Enterobacteriaceae
Description: partial 23S ribosomal RNA
Rfam family: Bacterial large subunit ribosomal RNA
Source: RNAcentral
GGGUAGUUUGACUGGGGCGGUCUCCUCCUAAAGAGUAACGGAGGAGCACGAAGGUCAGCUAAUCCUGGUCGGACAUCAGGAGGUUAGUGCAAUGGCAUAAGCUGGCUUGACUGCGAGCGUGACGGCGCGAGCAGGUGCGAAAGCAGGUCAUAGUGAUCCGGUGGUUCUGAAUGGAAGGGCCAUCGCUCAACGGAUAAAAGGUACUCCGGGGAUAACAGGCUGAUACCGCCCAAGAGUUCAUAUCGACGGCGGUGUUUGGCACCUCGAUGUCGGCUCAUCACAUCCUGGGGCUGAAGUAGGUCCCAAGGGUAUGGCUGUUCGCCAUUUAAAGUGGUACGCGAGCUGGGUUUAGAACGUCGUGAGACAGUUCGGUCCCUAUCUGCCGUGGGCGCUGGAGAAUUGAGGGGGGCUGCUCCUAGUACGAGAGGACCGGAGUGGACGCAUCACUGGUGUUCGGGUUGUCAUGCCAAUGGCAUUGCCCGGUAGCUAAAUGCGGAAGAGAUAAGUGCUGAAAGCAUCUAAGCACGAAACUUGCCCCGAGAUGAGUUCUCCCUGACUCCUUGAGAGUCCUGAAGGAACGUUGAAGACGACGACGUUGAUAGGCCGGGUGUGUAAGCGCAGCGAUGCGU